AACGAACGCUGGCGGCAGGCCUAACACAUGCCAGUCGAGCGAGGACUUCGGUCCUAGCGGCGGACGGGUGAGUAACGCGUGGGAACGUGCCCUUUGCUUCGGAAUAGCCCUGGGAAACUGGGAGUAAUACCGGAUGAGCCCUUUGGGGGAAAGAUUUAUCGGCGAAGGAUCGGCCCGCGUUGGAUUAGGUAGUUGGUGGGGUAAUGGCCUACCAAGCCGACGAUCCAUAGCUGGUUUGAGAGGAUGAUCAGCCACACUGGGACGGAGACACGGCCCAGACUCCGACGGGAGGAAGGAGUAGGGAAUCGUCCGCAAUUGGCGAAAGCCUGACGGAGGAAGGAGGCGUGAGUGAGGAAGGGCUUCGGAUCGUAAAACUAUGUUAUUAGGAAAGAACAAAUGGGCAAGUAACGAUGCACGGAUGGAAGGUACGUAAUCAGAAAGCCACGGCUAACGACGUC
This 458-nucleotide ribosomal RNA is filed under the name uncultured bacterium. Its description in RNAcentral is "partial 16S ribosomal RNA". It matches the Rfam family "Bacterial small subunit ribosomal RNA", at positions 29 to 507 of the family's 1533-position model. The record is from RNAcentral.